Pongo abelii (Sumatran orangutan) is the source of this 322-nucleotide non-coding RNA. NCBI's taxonomy places the organism in Eukaryota, Metazoa, Chordata, Mammalia, Primates, Hominidae. The record is from Rfam.
GGAUGUGAGGGCGAUCUGGCUGCGACAUCUGUCACCCCAUUGAUCGCCAGGGUUGAUUCGGCUGAUCUGGCUGGCUAGGCGGGUGUCCCCUUCCUCCCUCACCGCUCCAUGUGCGUCCCUCCUGAAGCUGCGCGCUCUGUCGAAGAGGACGACCAUCCCCAAUAGAGGAGGACCGGUCUUCGGUCAAGAGUAUACGAGUAGCUGCGCUCCCCUGCUAGAACCUCCAAACAAGCUCUCAAGAAUCGCUUGAACCUAGAAGGCGGAGGUUUCAGUGAGCUGAGAUUAUGCCACUGCAUUCCAGCAUGGGUGACAGAGUGAGACU